GAUGCGCUAACAAUAUCCUAGAGACUAGGACUUAUUGACUAAAAACAAACAUCUGUUAUUGACCAGAAACUAAAUUUAGAAAACUUAACACGUGGAUUUGCAGUCGUGAAGCAUAUUCUUAACACUCCUCCUUGCUUUAGGCACCGCAAAUUCCAAUUCUCUUCCUUAGUAACUCAAACUUGCAAACUGGAAUUGGCUGUGUGAACAAAUCUGCCAGCCGAUCUUCAGACUUGCAGUAAACUAAAUUUACUUCUCCAGAUUGCUGCACCUCCCUUAAGAAGUAAAGCUUGAUGUUGAAGUGUUUCGUUUUCCUAUGAAAUACUGGAUUUCGAGAAAUUGCAGUUGCUGCUUGAUUAUCAACAAAAAUCUGAGUACUAUCAUUUUGCUCCAUGUGUGGAUCAGUUAGUAUUUUCUUCAGCCAUAAAGCUUGGUUUGCUGCUGCACUUACUGCAAUAAACUCUGCCUCUGCAGUGGACUAUGCUACAAUCUCUUGUUUCUUUGAACACCAUGAGAAAAUACCUGAGCCUAGGCUGAAACAGUAUCCUGAAGUACUUUUCAUGUCAUCUACAGAACCAGCCCAAUCACUAUCUGAAAAUCCACACAUCUUGAAGUUUUGACACUUCUGAAACUUAACACCACAAUCAAUAGUACCCUUGAUAAACCUUAAUACUCUUUUUGCUGCUUUUAAAUGCACUUCACUAGCCCAAUGCAUAAAUCGAGAUAAGAGACUUACAACAAAUAAAAUAUCAGGUCUUGUUGCUGUAAGAUACAUUAAGCAACUAAUCAAGCUUCUAUAAUAGCCUUCAUCAACUUUAUCAGCACCAUCUUCUUUGCUCAGCUUCUCUUUUUGACCCAUUGGCGUGUUUGUUGCUUUGCACUCCUCCAUCUGAAAUUUCUUCAAAAUUUCCUUUGCAUACUUCUUCUGACAGAUAAAUACUUCAUUUUGGCUUUGUUGGACCUCCAUACCAAGAAAGUAAGUCAUAAGGCCAAGGUCUGUCAUCUCAAAGACCUGCAUCAUCUCUUGUUUAAACUUUUCAACCAUUUGUACAUUAUCUCCUGUUACCAAAAGGUCAUCAACAUAAAGGGACACAAUGAGAACAUAACUACCCUUUUGUUUAACAUAAAGAGUAGCUUCAGAUAAGCUUCUUGUGAAGCCUAAGCUUAGCAAAUGUUCAUCUCUCCUGCUGUACCAGGCUUUUGGGGCUUGCUUUAAGCCAUAAAGGGCCUUUUUAAGCAAAUAGACCUUAUCCUCUUCACCUUGCACCACAAAUCCUUCUGGCUGCUCCACAUAUAUUUCUUCUUGCAAAACACCAUUUAGAAAAGCUGAUUUGACAUAUAGCUGAAACACUUUUCAGCCCUUUUGUGCUGCUAAAGCUAACAACAAUCUGAUUGUGUCUAAUCUAGCAACUGGAGCAAAAGUUUCAGAAUAAUCAACACCAAAAAUUGAGCAUGCCCCUUAACAACAAUCCUUGCUUUGUGUUUGUUGAUGGAGUUAUCAGCAUUUAGCUUUGUUCGGUACACCCAUUUUACUCCAAUGAUUUUUCUGCCUUCUGGUUUGUGGACUAAUUCCCAAGUUUUAUUCUUGUGAAUCAUUGACAUCUCCUCCUCCAUAGCUUUCUUCCACUUUGGAUCUAUNNNNNNNNNNNNNNNNNNAGCAGGUUCGCAUAAUGCCACAUUACAUCUUUGAUAAAUGUCUGAAAGUGGUCUUGUUCCUCUAACUGGAGGAUCAUCUUCCAAUUCAUUUUGCCACUGCUCCGUUGUCUCCUCUUCAAGAGAAUUGCUUAUAAAUUCUUGUGAAGGUCUGCUUGUUCCUUGCGAAUUUUCCCAGUUCCAUUGCUCAUCCUCAUUGAAGUGAACAUCUCUAGUAAUCACCAUUUUUUCUGUUUGAGGGUGAUAUACUUUGUAGGCUUUAGAAACUGUGCUAUAGCCCACAAAGAUGCCUGGAAUUGCUUUUUUGUCAAGUUUGUCCCUCUUGACCUGUGGAAUAUGGACAAAACACAAACAACCAAAUACUUUAAGAAAGCUUAAUGAAGGUAUAUACCCAUACCAAGCUUCAAAUGGAGUUUUGUCUUCAACGGCUACACUUGGAAGCCGAUUUUGCAGAAAUACUGCUGUGUUGGCUGCCUCUGCCCAGAAACUUUUUGGCAAAUCCUUCUCAUGUAGCAUGCAUCUGGCCAUCUCCAUGACGUAUCUAUUCUUUCUUUCACUAACUCCAUUUUGCUGUGGAGUGUAAGGAGCAGUGAGCUGAUGUUCAAUGCCAGCUUCAUCGCAAAACAAAUUAAAUUCUGCUGAGGUGUACUCCUUUCCAUUAUCAGAACCUUAAAAUCUGAAUUUUGCAGCAACUUUGAUUUUCCACCAUCUUCUUGAACUUCCAGAAUACUCCAGCCACUUCAGACUUGAACUUUAGGAAAAAAAUCCAACACAUUCUUGUAAAAUCAUCAAUGAAAAGAAUGUAAUACCGGCUACCUUGAAGUGAUGGUGUUUUUUGAGGUCCUCCCACAUCUGUAUGAACUAGUUGCAGCUUCUGUGAUGCUCUCCAGGAUGAUUUAGGAAAUGGUUUCCUACUUUGUUUUCCAAAUUGACAAGCAUGACAAUUUGGCAAGUGAUCAACCAGAGCUGGUAAACCUCUUAUCACUUCAUCUUUCUUCAUCUUUAGCAUUCGUUGAAGAUGACAAUGCCCAAGCCUUUUGUGCCAGACUUCGGUGAUGUUGAUAUUGGUGAAAUAAGCUAUGUGCUCCUCCUCCAUUGGAUCAAAUGAGAAGCUUUUACCUCUCAUUUUAACAUGCAAGAUCUCCUUUCCAGCGGCAUCAUAGAUACGACAAUACAAGUUUUCAAAGGACACCUUAAAUCCUUUUUCUAUUAACUGGCCAACACUCAGCAAUUUUUGAUCAAUAUCAGGUACAUAAAGAACAUCUGAAAUUGUUUUUGUACCUGAGCUGGUUGUUAUUGCAAUGGUUCCUCUUCCUUUUGCUGCAAUAUAACCACCAUUUCCUAUCCUAACUUUCGUCAUUGCGGUAGGCUUUAACUCCUUAAAAAGAGUUCUGUCAAACGUUAUGUGGUUUGUACAACCACUGUCAAUUAACCAACAUUCUGAGGAGACCUUUGUAGAGAAACAAGUGGCCACAAACAUCUGAUCUUCUUCUUCUUGAUCAGCUACUUGAGCAUCUUCUUCCUUUUUCUGAAAUUUGCUUUUGCAAAUCACAGCUUCAUGUCCAAGCUGAUUGCAUUUGCUACACUUUGCAUCGGGCCUUUCCAACACUUGAAUGGAGGAUGACCCAUUUUACCACAGUGUUUGCAAGGAGGGUAGUUUCCCUUUGAGCUUCCACCUUUGCUUUGAGUGUGGUUGCUUGAACUGUUCCCAGAACUUGAGACUUGUUUCUUCUUUUUAUUGUUUCUCUGGACAUGCUGGUGUUUAACUGACAAGGCUCCUUCAACAGUAGAAUCUUGUCUCAUAAGCCUCCGUUGCUCUUGAGCCUGCAAAGCAUUCAACAGUUCUGCCAAGGUAAUCUUGGACAGAUCUUUAGUAUUUUCCAAGGUGGUUAUUGAGGCUUCAUAUUUUUCUCUUUGUGGCUUUUGAUCUGAGCGACCGUCAGGUUGUUCGGCAGCGGAGCGACUUCGUAAUCUUCUUCGACAGCUUCCCAUAGAUCUAAAGCCUCCAGAUAAGUUUCCAUUCUAACAGCCCAGAGCUGGAAGUUUUCUCCGUCGAAAACUAGAGGAGCAGCUUGAGAGAAAUUGGAGAAACUUGUUUCAACUUCCAUGGUUGCUCACAGGUCCCGUAAGAAAUAAUUGCUCUAAUACCAAAUUGUUGUUUUUUGAGAAGGAAAAGACAGAGAAACAAAGGUAUGUGAAAUCUGAAAUUAGAAAAGGAAUAGAAAAAGUAAACGAAAAAACUGAUAUGAUGCAGCAAAGGGGUUCUUUUAUUCACCACCAGUGUAUUACAUUUAUAGUGCAAAAGUAAAACUGAAAAGAGUGGAUCACAAGAUUUACGGUAACAAACCAUGACUUGUGAUGCGCUAACAAUAUCCUACAGACUAGGACUUAUUGACUGAAAACAAACAUCUAUUAUUGAUCAGAAACUAAAUUUAGAAAACUUAACACGUGAAUUUGCAGUCGUGAAGCAUAUUCUUAACAGCAUGAAAUUUUGGAGGUGGCGGUUCAACAGCAGGUAAUGGGUUAGGGUAAUCAUCGAGGGAAGGCGUGUUAACAAAGAGGUUGGAAGGAAUAAUUGCUGUAUUUUUAUAGGGGACUAAAUCUUUUGAUACUAAAUGUCGCACUAAUCCCAUAGUCCUUAGGAAGAUUCACAACAUAAGCAUUCGAACUAAUUUUUCAUAGAACUUGGAACGGUUCCGCACUACGAGCUUGCAAUUUCUUGAACUUCCUGAAGAAAGUCGUUCAAGCCUAAUUCUUAUCAUGACAUAACCUCAUUCACUUAGCUCUUUAUAGCGUCUGUGUAAAUCAGUAAGAGAUUUAUAUUUUAAGUUAUUAAAGUGAAUGUAUUUGCUGAUUUCUUGAUGCAAUGAAUGUGGGUGCGAUGCGAAUGACUGUGCAAACUCAGACACUCUAUACUGAUGAGACAUGGGGAUCAGAUCUAUGGGCUGCCUAAGUUUGUAAUCAUGCACCAUUGUAAAUGGACUCAUGUCUAUGGAUUUAUUGACUGAACUAUCAUAUGCAAACUCAACUAUCGGUAACAUUAAAUCACGGGUCCUAACAUGUUCAUUCGGGUUGAGCCUAUAAUGUAAAAAAUUAGGCAGAGAUGCUCCGGAAACUAAAUCAAUUGCGUGUUAGAUAUCACACAUCGGAGGAAGUGCAUUCGGAAGAUCAUCAUGGACUACAGAAUGAAACUCCUCUAGAAAGAAAACUACUACAGGGGAUGCUCAAGGUUGAACUCCACAUUGAUAUCUUUAGCCACAAGUGCCAACAUAGGUGACUGGCUCUAGAUAUCUUUCACUAUCUCUUUCAAAGUAGUGAUAUGAAGUGGUUUAGUUGUACUUAGGUCAAUAGUUUUUCUUUGGAAAUCAUUCUGGACAAAUUCUAAUCCGAUGGAUUCGUCUUCAAAGUCUUCUACGUAAUAUUUUAUAUUUGGUUUAUAGACUUCUUCGACAUAUUCGGCCUCUUGGUUUCCAGCUUCUAGUUCAGUAAUCAGGUAGGUCUUAGUGGAACAUUGGGACGCUAUGUGGCCGAAUUGUUGACAUCUAAAAUAUUGGGUUUGGUUCCUAGGGGUAUGGGGAAGGGCCAUAGGUGGUGCGGCCAAACCGAUUUCAGGCUGGGCUGCAAUGGGGGUUGGCAGUUUAGGGGUUCUAAAGUUUCGUAUGAACUCAGGGACCUCUUGUCUGAUUUCUUUCCUUUCAACUCGUAUGGCAGCGAACUGGUCUUUGAGGAAUUUCAGAAGUUCGGAAUCCAUAGUAGCUAAGAGAACUUUAGGUCUACCGGCUUGGUACUCCUUAUCGCUACGGGUUGAUAUGCAAUGAUAACACAAUGUAUAAUGAUGUGAGAUGCAAUGUCAAUAAUGAAAUUCUAAUAAAUAUGAUGCAGGACAACCUAUCAAUGCAACGUACUAUAAUUUCAGAGAUCAGCAAGCUUUCACAAAGUAACUUAAAAUUUAAAUGUUGCUGAUUUUAACUUUGGUUAUUUCAGGUUAGGGUAUGAGAUUAAUCAAGUUAAGAAAUUAGGUUGCAAUCAAGUAUUAUAGUUGUUCCGAUCCUAAAGAAAAUUGAUCGAUGAACAUUGUGAAACAUCCUCUUGCUAGGGUGUGCUAAUUUAAUAUCAAAAUUUGAUGGUUGAUAGGAUGGGUUUGAAAGUAGAGGUUCUAUGUUCUAAAUUUUGACAGCAAAAAUAAGUUUCAAGAAUACGGCUAUCAUGCAAGAAAACUUAAAACAUAAUUAAAUGAACAAUCCCAAGAAAAGUAGAAACCUAUCACCUGUCGUGGAGCAGUCAACCAGAACCAUUUGCUCGUGGGCUGUGGCGGCGAUCAAGGGCGCAAUUGCAGCUAAUGGACCCUUCAAGUGGCUUCAAUUGGCUUCAACUUGGAUCCGAUCACAGCAAUUUGGCAGUUCUUUGUAGAAAUGGUCCUGACUUCAGCAAUUUGUUGGGGCUUAAUUGCUGUGGCUUGGUGGGCCUGAUGACUGGGCUUGUUGAUUAAAGGGAGGAGGGGCUGGUGAAGGGCAUGAUGGGCCUGAAAAAGUGGAGGGGUGUGGCCUGCUAGGGUUUGGGCCGUAGAAUAAAGAAAGGGGAAGGGGGGAUGGCUUAUCGGGGUUGGUGUGUGUUGGCUCGGGUGUGUCCUAUUAUGAAAAGGAAUGGUGGAGUGUGAAGGGGGUUUGGGUUUUAGGGGAAGGUGAAGGGAGGAAAGAUGGAGAGGGUUCAGGGCUGAACCCCUUAAGGGAUGAAAACGAUGGGUUCACGAAGAGGGGAGGGGGGCAUCGGCCGGUGAACCAGGGGUGCAGGGCGGUGAACGAGGGAAAGUAGGAGGUGGUUAGCGAGGGCGGGGUGCGCUGCAGGCGGCGACGGCGGGGUGCGCUGCAGGCGGCGACGGCUCGAGUAGUGGGCAUCAGUGGGGUAGCACGGCCGGAGAGAGGGAAGAGGGCACGGGCGGAGCUGAUGGAGCUCGGGCACCGGCGGCUCGGGCAAUGGAGAUCUUCGGGCGGUGGGACGGGAGCGGCCAAGGAUGGCAAAGGUGACAGCAAGGCGGUCGCAAAGGAAAGAAUGGCGAGGCGGCGCUCGGUGGUGGCACGCGGCCGGGCGACAUGGCGGACCGGUGAGGAAGAAGAGGAGUGGUGAAGGCGGCGGGGGCAGCGAGGCCGGAGGGAGCAACGGCGGCGCUUCAAAGGCGGCGAGCAACGGCGGAGAGGAGGCCACGGAAGGUAGAAGAUGAACCAAGUUUUUUUUCCUUUUUGUUUAACUCGGUUCGGGUUGGAUUUGGAUUAUCGAGCGCGACCCGCUCUGAUAACCUGCUACCAGUCCGUCACGUGCGCUCCUUUUUUUGUGGUGAAUCUGAGCUACCGGAUUAUGGGUUAAUGGGUUUAGCCCUUACCCGUUAAUCCGGUCUUCUUCACCCACCGACAGCCUCGGAGGAACGCCGUGGACUGCACGGCGGCGGCUGCGGGGCGAGGGACGGGCGGCCGCUGCGGAUCGGCCGAAGGGGGGCGGCGACGGAGAUCGCAGCCUUGGCUAUGUGGUCGGGGGCGAUAGGCGGCGGCCGAUCACGGCGGCGGGCAGCCUCUUCCUAGCACGAGUGAAGGACGUCCGGGUUCUCACAGGGCGGUUGUGGGCGGCGGCCGGUCACGGUUCCGGCUGGUGGCGGCUUCCGGCGACGCGUCACAGGCGGCUUCUCUUCGAGCGUUGUUGGCAGCGAUCGGGGUGAAGGUGGUCAAGCGUGUGAUGGGUGGUAAGGAGUGGCUCCGACGAAUAGAUGGCGACAGUGGCAUUGAUGAGGAACUGAUGAUGGGGAGCGUGGGAGGGAUGGCGACGGUGGCUCUGAUGAGGAACUAAUGAAGGGGAGCGUGGGAGAGAAAGGCUCAGUGCUGGUGGGGUGCUGGCACAGAGGGGAGGGAACGAACUGGGUCUUCUCCUUUGGAAACAGAUGAAGGGUUUUUCUCCUUUUUCCUGGUGAAAACAGAGAGGGAGGGAGAGAGAGAGAACAAAAACUAGAUCGUGGCUUUGGCAGCAGGGCCAAAGCCGAGCUGCUCUGAUACCAAGCUGAUGGCGGACCACUGCAGGGGAAAAGAGGAAAAGAGGAAGAAGGAAAGAAGAAGGAAGAAGAGGUUAUAGAGACGCAGGAAGAAGAGGAAGAAGGAGGCUAGGGUUUUUUAUUCAAUCAUCAGUUGCCCUAAUUCAUGAGUAGGUGGCUCUUAUAUAGGCCUUACAUCAUGAAUUGACCAAGUUAAACAAUUAACAACUAACGAAACUUGGAUCCUUCAAUUAAUUGACUAAGUCAAUUAAUUGAUUAGAUACCAAAUUAAAUCUUACAAACAUUAGACCAUUAAACCAAUUGAUCACACCCAAAAUUGGACCUUUAUAAUUAGGUCUUACAUUGAUCAAUUGAUCCAAUCACUUGAUUCAACAACCAAAUCGACUCCAAAAUAACAGAAACACAACCAAAUCGACUCAAAUAAAAGCAACUAAUAAGACAAUAAAAGAAACAUGACGCUGACUCGAAUGGACCCGAUCUGGGCCUGACUCAAUCUGGUGGCUCAGGAUCCUCUUGUAGCCAUAAUGAUGUCAUCCCCUGGUGCGGGCGCGAGCGAGCGGCUCUGAUGGCUCGAUCGUCUGAACGAACGGCUCUGAUGUCCCCAUCAGUUAUUAACUGAUCCAUGAUGAUAUAGGAGAUUGGUUGGGAAACUAAAUUAUCUAACUAUCACCGGACUAGAUAUUUCUUUUGCAGUUAGUGUGGUGAAUCAGUUUUUGGACACUCCAAGGACUAGUCUCUGGGGUGCUGUAAUAUGUAUUUUGAGAUAUCUUAGGGGUGUCCCAAGCCAGGGUUUUUUAUAUAAGAAUCACAUACUCAGAUUGAAGGUUAUACUGAUGCAGAUUGGUCUGGAUCUCCAUCUGAUAGAAGGCCACAAUUGGGUACUGUCUUUGUUGGUGGUAAUUUGGCAUCUUAGAAGAGUAAGAAGCAAAAUGUUGUUGCAAAAUCAGUGCAGAGUCUGAAUAUCUAGGCAUGGCCCACACUGCAUGUGAGUUGAUUUGGUUGAAGCACAUGUUGGAAGAACUGUGUUUUAAACAAUCACAUCCUAUGAAUAUGAUGUGUAAUAAUCAUGCAACUAUUCAUAUUGAUUGUCAUUUCGUUCGCUCUUACAGAAUGUGAUUCGUACAGAGUUUGUGAGAUUAGUUGACCAGUUAGCAGAUUUAUUUACUAAACCUUUGGGUGAGUUAUAUUUGUACAAGCUGGGCACAUAUGAUAUAUAUGCUCUAGCUUAAGGGGGAGUGUUAAGGGUAAUUAAGUAUAUGUAUCAAGGGUAGUUAUGACAUUAUAUUAUUUUGUUAUUAAUAUAAAUACAACAUGGGGUCAGACCUAGGGUAACUGACCUCUCUGAUUUCUUGUUUCUCAACAAUUUAUAUAAUAAAGAUAUAUCAUAUUAACCAUGUCUUUGGGGAUGCCCAAACAAAUAUAGUGUGAAUUUUGCUUUCAAUUUUAGAUUUGCCAUCAAUGUAGAGGUUAUCUUAAGAUUUGCUGGAUAUGAGCUAUGACUUAUAGCUUCUCUUCGAGAGUUUUUCAGCAUUUGAGUUAUGUAUUUGAUAUAACAUAAGCUGCUUUGACACAUAUUUUAUGCAGGCUGAUUAGAGCUGCUCAUAAGAAAGGGGCAAACAUUAUUCUGAUUCAGGUAAAAAAUCAGAAACGGAGAGUUUAUUUUGAUAAAGAAAAUGAUUGACAAUCAGACCUGACACCUAUCUUAUUACAUCUUCUAUAUCAAAUUGUUUUCACAUCGAUUAUAUGCAGUAUAGUAAUUAUUAUUUAAGGGUUUAUCAUAUUAUUAUUCAUGCAUCUGAGAAAAAUUUCUGUUAUAUAUUGCUUUUCCAAAAUUGGUAUGUAUAAAUUUGUGUUAUGAUUGGAGCCCAUGAAGCAAAGGUACAACUAUAGAAUAUAGAUAUAGCUUGAUAAGGACAUGCUGAUCUAGUAAAUCUAGAGAAAAUAAGAUACUAUAUGGCUAAGCUAUGUCAAUAAAUAUAUCCAUAAAUACAUACAUAUACACACAUAUCUACAUACAUGCAUAUGUACAUUUGAAAAAACAUCCAUGAAGCAUGAUGGGCUAUUGAAAUAACAGAGUUCAUGCUCUGUACGAUAGCAUUCGCUUCCAUAACCUCCUGAUUUAAUCAUCAUUCAAGUCCGUAGACCCCAAUCCAUACUCCAUACUAUAAUAUGAACAUCACAAUCUCGAAAACUAACCAUUCAUUAUUAAAAGGUUAGCAUUCAUUAAAAAGGAAAGAAACGAAGCGAAGCCCUUCGCCUAAUUCUUGAGAGGUACCAAAGAAGUAUCUCAAUUGUAUCCGAGAAGUAUCUGAAGCAUUGUUUUAGUUUUGAAAAAUAGGAUACUUAACAUAAGCAUUAGAUAGUGUCCUAGAAGUAUCCCAUAAGUAUUGGUAUCUGAUUUGGUCCCAGCAUGCAAAUUCAAGUUAUCUGUUCUUUGUAGAUGGGCACACUCUUAUCACUUUUUUCAUUUUAGAAUGAAGGCAAUGCUAACUAAUUUCUAAUGCCCGUACCCAAAACCUAAUUUGUAAGGACAAAAGCUACUUUAUUUUGACUUGCUAGAUGUAGUGCCUCCCUAUAUGUCACUAGAUUUACUUCAUGGCCAUCCACUUUGGGAAUAUUCUUUACAUCUGUUGCUUUUGUCUGGCCUUGAUUGAAAGCAGUCACUGCCCCCUCCUCCCCCCAACACACGCACAGCAAACAAAAAAUAAGAAGAGUUGAUCUUGUGGUUGCUUCUAUAAGUAUGAUCAUAUCAUUCAAGUAAGCUGAAGGCGAUACCAUGCAAGAUUCUCGUAUGUUUCUGACUUCAAUUCAGGAAGGUUGGUAUACCUCAAAGAAAAAUCUAUUUGAAAUUGUAAUUAAGCGAGUCCAUCUCUCUGCUGCCUGAAUCAAUCAGAGGGCCGAAUCUUCACCUUGUUAGAUGAGUUCAUCUGGAUUUACUUGCACAGGCUUAUUUCUCAAAUCAUUCAUACUACUCAGGGAACAAACCAAAAAAAAUUAAGCAGUGAUUACAUGGCCAUACAUCGACAUGAUUAUUGAUAUUUCUGAACGAGUAAUGAUAGUUGAUGUAACUAUUUUGCCUCUUGAUCUAUUUAGAAGUUCACUAGUUGGAAAGGACUUGGUGAUUCUCUAACUAUCUUUAUAAGGACUUCUUGAUGUGUCUUAGGAACUAUUUGAAGGGUACUAUUUCUGCCAAGCUCAAAGGGCAGAUUUUUUUCAGCGCGCUAAACCUUAUAAAGGGCAUCCUACAAUUUUGAGGUAAAAAUUAAACUUUAUCUGCAAAAAUUCCUUUGCAAUCAGUAUGCAUAUCAAAAGAACAAAAUCAACGGUAAAUUAUCACUCCAUCAAGUAUCCUAACAUAAGAUAAUUUCAUUUCACAUUUUGCAGGAUGCAAAAACUUGCAAAGGAGUUAGGCGUUGUGAUACCAGUGAGUUUCUUUGAGGAAGCAAACAAUGCUCAUUAUAAUUCAAUAGCCAUCAUUGAUGCAGAUGGGAUGGAUCUUGGAUUAUAUAGGAAAUCACAUAUUCCAGAUGGACCAGGCAUGAUAUAUCAGAAUUAUCUGCUGCUAGACUACUUACAUACUAUUCUUGUUUCAGCUAAUGAGCAAUUAUUACUUCUGCUAUUCAGGUUACCAAGAAAAAUUCUAUUUCAAUCCAGGUGACACUGGUUUCAAGGUGGUGUAUCUUUCAUCAUUUCUUUUCCUUUUUUCCUCAAUAGAUUCUAGUCUCGUUCAUACCAAAUGCGAAAGUAUUUUGUGUGUAUCAUGUUUUAAGCCAUAAAUCAUCUAUCUACUUUUCAACUAAUGUCUUCCCUUGGUGUCAUUGAAAGGCAGGUUUUCACAACUAAAUUUGCCAAAAUUGGGGUUGGUGAGUGAGUUGCAUUUAAAAAAGCAUAAAUUAAUAUUGAGUUGUCAAUCAAAUAAGAAAACACAUAUUGCAUUACUACUACUUACUUUAAUCCCAAGAAAAGAGUUAUCUGAGGCCAUUGCUUCCUUUUGUUGGCAGCAAUUUGUUGGGAUCAGUGGUUUCCAGAAGCCGCACGAGCUAUGGCUCUUCAAGGUGCAGAAAUAUUGUUGUAUCCUACUGCCAUUGGAUCUGAACCGCAAGAUAAAGGGCUUGACUCGCGCGAACAUUGGAAGCGAGUAAUGCAAGGACAUGCUGGAGCUAAUUUGGUAAUACUUGAUUACAACUCUAGUUUAAACCUUUCUUGGAAGUUUGGCUGGUGUGCUGCUUCAUACGGCAUUUUUGCUUUGCAAUCUCUGGGCAUGAUGAAUUUGUGAGUUUGCAGGUUCCUCUUGUAGCUUCCAACCGGGUUGGAAAGGAGACGAUCAAAACAGAACAUGGUGAGAGUGUGAUCACAUUCUAUGGCAAUUCUUUCAUAGCAGGUAUUUUGUCCCCACUACAAGUAUAGGAGCAUGCUUUUCUCAUUUUGAUGCUUGUAAAUUGCAAAUGAGCAAUGUAUCAUGUAAUGAUCUGUUGUUAAUACUGAUUAUCCUUGAAAAAGGACCAAGUGGAGAAAUAAUGGCGCUUGCAAAUGAUAAAGAUGAAGAUAUGCUGAUUGCGGAGUUUGACCUGGAAAAAAUCAAGACGCAGAGAUACAGUUGGGGGGUAUUUCGUGAUCGGCGACCAGACCUAUACAAGGUACUCUUGACAUUAGAUGGCAGCAAACCUUCUCUGUGAUGUUGAUGUGUUACAUGGCACUGAGGUUGAGAAUUUAGCUUUUCUCUCCAGAAUAAAUGUGUUGACAUGAUGUUAAAAAAGUAUUCAAGAUGAUGCAAAACUAUAUAAUAAACUUAAUUUUGUACCGCUAAAUUCCUUGCCUCUAGAAAUAAUUUUGCAGAAUUGAUGAAAAUAUUUGACGACUUUGGAUCUAUUUCAGUUUCUGUUAUAAUUGAUAUAAUGGCCUUUCUGCGUACAAUAUAAUCACUGCCUACAAAGUUCUGGCCUGAGCAUCAGCUUUAUUUUCUGUCAAAUAACUCAUCUGUCUUUCUAGGACAGCAGUCACCUUGCUUGCAGCCUUCUCUGUAUGGUAUGCCGCAUCUCCUUCCUUGAACCAAGUUAAGAGACAUCAAAAACGAAAAUAACACAAAUGUUGUCUGUUAGUUUUGGCAUGUAGGUUAAACUUUAGAUAGCUUACUAUAAGCUAAGAGAGCUGGCAAACCAGUUUUUUAUUUGUUGAAUUUGGUUCAAACUUUUGUGCUUUGAUUUUGGCUAUUGAUUUGUUUUCCCCUUUUUAGGCCCCCAAAGCUUUAUGUCAAGUGUGCAUUCAUGAAACUCAAACUAUAUGCUCUAUGAAAUCAAGAAACAAACACCUUAAUCCAUCAAAUCAGUCGGUUCAAAUGCUGCAGCAUAGAGCCAUCAAAAAUAAAAUAAUAACAAUAUAAUGAUAACAAUAACAAAGCCAUGUCACCAAAUUCAGGCGGCUGAUUUUUCUCAGUUUAUGGAAAGAGAACUUCUAUAAGCAUGAAAAUUCAGAAACAACAUGAAUGUUCAUAAGAAAACACCUUGUCUUAGAUUCCAGUGCAAUGGUCUCCUAGACGUGAAAGAAACCUGGAAGAACCAAUAUAUAUAUAUACUUUUUAUGAAAUGAUAAGAAGAAACUAGAUUGAGAAAUCCAUAUCAUCUGGCUUUUCAUGGCCAUUACGUACUUCCAACUGCCUGUGUGCCACCUCGUCCAAGUCCCCUGCUAAGUCCUCGUUUAAUCACAUGGCUGUUAAAAGGCGUAGGAAUUAUGCUUCAUGACUUGAUUCGUUUCGGUAUUUGUGGUAACUUUGGUACGGAAAGGUUGAGCUCCAUGUUGGAAUCUUAUUUGCUUGCUGGGGAGUCAUAAUUAGGAGAGUUUGAGAUUUUGUAUAUGUUAAUUAUAGUAUGUACUAGGAGGAUAAGUUUUCUUUACUAAUGUUAAUGAAUAUUGGUAACUAAUAAAUAUGGAAAUAUAGUUAAAAUCCUCAUAUGAUCCUCAUAUUAUACAUGUAUUUGUUAACAAGUUCACCAUAUUUUUUUAAUAUUUAAGCAAACAAGGUCUUUUCCUCUAGUUUUAUAUGAGAAGGGGGGUUCCUUCUUACUCUUUUUUUUUUUAAUCAUGGCAAUGUCGUACACUCUUUGGCGAAGCAUUUAUUCUUUCUUUCCUAUAUCCAUAUUCAUACAUACAGAAUUCUUAUCAUGAUUCAUGGGUGAAAUUAGAGCUGGUUAACUACCCUCGCCCAUUAGGAUAGGUAAGAGGUAUAGUUUAGUGUUCCACCUAGGGUGUGGCUGAUUAGGACUCAUCACCCGUCUGUUCCGUGAUGGAACUUGAUUUGGCACAAGGAUCGAAUCCCGAGACAUGCUUUCAUUGUAUAGAAGACUCUUAUGGCUAAGUUACUUAGAUCGAACUUCAGCACCGAGGAUUCCAGCUUGUCUCUUACUUAGAGGUUCGCCGGGAGAUGACGAUCUAUCUCAAUCAGAUGUCCCCAAUCUAUGAUCUUUCUUAAGCCAGCGAUCCCAUAGCUCGGAUGCUGCUCCCCACAAUACAAUAGAUAGGUAAAAGAACUCAAGAAAGUGCUUUAUUUCGAUUUGAUGGUCGAGUCAAUGGCUCAUGAACCACGUCUUUCCCAGAGGAAUAAAAUAAGAAGACCUUCAUCGAGAAAGGAUCUCUGUUCUUCACUUGAUGAACUCAAAUGCUAUGGAAUCACCAUUUGCAGAGAGGAAAAAAGAAUCUUUGGCGAGCGAGGAUCCUUUUUUUGCUGCGCUUGGAUCGCUCGCCAGUUUGUAACAUUCCAGAUUGUUCUAUAUUUAUUAGAUUAACUCGAAAACACUACUUUUAUAAAAAAGUACUUAUUCUGAUUCCAUUAAUUCGUGUACAUUUAUAUAUUGAAUUAUGCAUAAGUAUGCACAUGUACCUAUGUCUAUAAAUAAAAGAUUGCAUGCACAUUCAGUAUAUAAAUAUAUGAGCAUGUACGAUUUGCCUAAAAGAAAAUAAAGAUAUAAUAUCAAAAAAUAGUACUUUUUCUAGUUUACCUAACAAGAGUUUUUUAGAAAAAUAAAUAUUGAAAUUUGGAUAAAAAUAAAUAAAAAAUUCAUCCUUAAACUGUCAUGAGGUGUAAUGGUAUUUCCACAAAUAUUUGGAAGUUCAGCAGCACUGACAUCCCCCUAAUAAUUCAUCCAUAUCUCCCUCAUUCGACCUUCAUUUUGGGUAACUCAAAGAUACAGUAUAAGGUUGCUCGAUACUGGAUAUGACCUAAGUGGUUUUAUAUAAAAAUUCUGACCAUGCUGAUGAUGAUGAAGCUUUUUUUUGGAUAGAUGCGCAUGAAAGUUACUAUUUUUGCUAUGAAUUAAUUUAAUCUAUAAAAUUCAUGUUCAUUGAACAUUUGUGAGUCAAAAGACACAUUGUAUUCUCAAACUUGUCCUAUUCCACCAAUAGAUCUUGGCAUGGAUCUUAGGAUAUUGGCUUUCAUGCUUGUUCAAGUAUAGCUUUCGUCGUGGCCAUGAUAUCCUUUUGGGCUUUGGAUAAUUAUUUUCUAACAAUCUCAUCUAUGCGUUUGAAGCCUUCAUGAUUUCUGUUUGGUCUCAAGUUUAGACAUAUGUGAAGUCUGGGAUUUUUUGCUUACAUCAGAAGAAAGACAUAUUACUAGACCAUAAACAUUAGUUAGAGACAAAAUCUUAGAGCAGCUGAUGGUUUCCUUCUAGCAUGAUAGAAAGACGGAGAGAAUGACGAAUCUAGAGAGAGCAUAGAGAACGGGAGGUAGGACGAUAGGAGGGUUUCAGCUAGUGGCAUCUCUCAUAUUUUCUUCAGUAUGAAAUAAAGAUUUGCAAUUGUGAAUUGAUUAUGAUCUAUUUGUUUGAUUAAAGCCUAGGCCUACUUGGAUUCUUGACUAAGCUUCAAGAUUCGGGUUUAGAUCAGGCUGAUUCUUGAUUUCAGAUCUAGGCCUAAACUACUCUAAUGAAUCAAAGUUCCUUGUUUAGCCCCACUUGUGGCCACCUAUAUAGAGAGGACCAUAAAACCGAAUGAAAGAGUGGUCGGAUGAGAGGUAUCAAAUAGAACAAAAGUCUUGGGCAAGGUUUCAUGAACAAGGCACCCCCUUUAGCCUUAUUACAAAAGACUUGGGCCCGUGCUCAUCCAAUGUAAGUGACUAAAAUAUUUGUGUCUUGUGCCUCUACAAUAGGUUCAUGGUAGUUGUGCCCUAAAAGUUGAAAAUUCUAGUCCCUCUGCCAAGUGCCAUUUACUUUGAUUUAUAGUAGAUAUAAUACGUAGGGACCUCUAAGGUGAUGGAUCAAAAAGUCUUGUACCUUAUCCUCCCAUCUAGAUGCCUAAUUUCGAAGAAAAAAAAGAAGAAAUCUACAACCUGCUAGAUAAAAUAACAAAAAUUAGCAAAGAUAAGCUAUUUCAACAUAAAAGAGAAAAUUUUAUUGAAUCAAAGUAGGAAUUGAAUGCUAGCAUCAUAAUUAGAAAGACUUAAGGAAAAAGAAAGAUGAAGAAAAACAAUUUUUUCCGGUAGUGUCUUGGCAUGAUAGGCACUCUCCUCCUUUGGAGGAGACCCUAAGAGAGAUCUUCCCUAACUUGUGCUCCUCUUAGCUCUUGACUUUCGUGCAUCUAGGGUAGAAGUGGUGCUCCUUGGAUUGAAUGGAUCUAGAUCUAGAAAAAUUGGGGAAGAAGAAGGGGGAGGUGGAGAACCUAAAACUUAGGAAAUCUAGAGCUACAGGGACCUAAUGGAAUGGGGAAGGACUUACAUAUGUGUGUUGUUAAUGAAUGGCAACUAAAAUUCAUUAAGAAGAUUACUUUAUUAUCUUAAACAAUGUACUCAUAUUUGAAUGGAGGUCAACUUGUUAUAAAAGAUUGAGCAAUCUAAUUUUUCUAAGAAAAUUUUAUUUUCUAAUAUAAAUUAUUAACUUUAUUCUCUAAUAUUGAUAGCUUUAUAUCUACCAUCUAUAUUUGACUACAAUAAAUCUUAACUACUAGUAUGGUGAUACGAAAGGAAUGACUCUAAUACAUGGGUGGGUUAACAUUUCACUGGAGUUCAAUAACCAAUACAUCAUUAGUGAUAGAGCAAUCAUCUAAAUAAAUGCCCCCUAAGGCAUUUGUUAACAUUUCCCUGUAUGAUAGCUAGUGAUUGGUGCAAUAUAUAAAAGAUAAGUGGGUGCACAGGCUAUGAUUUUGAUCCAUCACAAACUGAAAAACUAGUUCCCUCUUUGACCUAUCAUCCGUAGAUAACAAAUUGGGAGAUUCAAAAGUCGCUCAGAGAUAAGAUUCUCGGUGUGUAGAAGAUGGAUCUGAAACAAACCUAAACAAUGCUUAUGAGUAUGGCCAUUAAUAGAUCAGCCUCGGUCUGAUCCAUGCUAUAUAGACGUCCAAAAUUGGUAGUAAAGGACAAAUUGAGUUCGGAUUUGGGUUUGGAUCCAUCAAAACAAGUGAGCCCCAAAUUUGGAAUCUUAACUCUAUUAACAGUCAGAUUUGAGUUUGAACUCAAGCAUUUUAGAUUCAAUUCAACACAUGAUUUUAACCUAUAUUUAUCUUAUUAUGUACUUGUUUUGUUCUCUUUGAAGCUCUUAUUAAAAACUAAUACUUUGUUCUCUUUCAACCAUUUAUUCAAAAAUAAUAUGUCAUAAUACUAUUGAAUGAGUGGAGGGGGUGAUAUUUUAGAUUUAUAUCUACCAUUUCUCUGAUCUAUUCUUAGUUCCACACUUUACGAAUAUUCACCAAAAGUAUAAUUAGGGGAGCAAAUGGGUCGGGUCAGACUAGGCCAUAAGUGAUCCCGACCCAACUCGGAUUCUUAUUCAGGUCCUCAUGUUGGACUCAGACCCAAUACAAUAGAAGAUUGAGUCGGAUCAAGUCAGAUCCACAUCUAAAAUUUCUAACUUGACAGGUCAUUUGGGUCAGAUGAAUCGGGUCCAUAUAUAACCCCCUUCCAACCCAAAAAAAUUGGGUCUGAAUCGAUCCAAUUAGGAUUGGGUUGGAUUCUUGUACUCGUCAUUUAUUGUACUUGGUUUCUUUUGCAAUGAGUGAAAUCUACCGAAGGUAGGUUAUGCAGGACUAUACAAGUAAAAAUACCUAUGCUAUUGAUACCAUUACGAACUAAUUUAAGACCGUGUAAAAUUGGUUAAGCUAUGCAUGUCAUCUGCUUGGACUCGAUGCAGUUGAAUCCAAAUAAACCAAAUUUUAUUUAAAGAAAGAAAAUCAAACAAAGUUUAUCCAAAGUUAUAUGCUGCCAAAGUAUCAAUUUCCAGUUUUUUUUUUUUCCUUCUUUUGCAACUUACUGCAAAUCUAUCCAUAUUGCAAUCAUAAAACAGCGGCAUGUAAUAUCAUGCAAUAUCCAAUUACAUACAUCAUGACAAAUUGAAAUCAAGCUCAUGUUGAGCUAAAACGAACGGGAAGCUAACUAAUCUCCUCUGUAAAUGAUCUCCAGCUUGGUAAAAGCAGACCUUAUGCAUGAAGUCUCUGUAAUUAAUCACAGGCUCUGCAUUGCACAUAUCCUUUUUCCCAUUCAAUAUUAACUUAAAGGGAAACACCAUUAUUGCAAUCAAGUAUCAGAUGCAGCCAUAGAGAUAAGUUAUGAUGUGACCCAAGAGAGCUAAGCAUGCUCCUCUCGUGGCUUGUUGGGUGAACGAGAUGGCCUUUUUCCCACGCACAGUUGGAUGAGAAUAACUACUGAUGAAGACAGGAUGACAGCAGAGGAAAGCUAUAGGUGUCUGAUGUUGUGAAAAUCCGUUUGAGGCCGAUUUAAGUGCAAGAUCAACACGAAUAUGGGUAAGACCGAUGUUGUGACACGAAGGCAUGAGGCUGCUUAUCUUGCAUUGCUCCAUUAAUUCCAACAAUUUUAAGCACCCUUCCAGGCCCUAAUAGUUCACCAAUUCGGAUCGAAUCAGAUAUAUAGGGUAGAAAAUCUAAAAUUGCUCUAACAAUUGAAUGGAUCUGAUCGGAUCGGAUCGAGUUAUAAUUUAGUAAAUCCAGAUCUGAUCCAAAAAAUAGAAUGGGUCUAAUUUUUAAACCCAACCCAAUCCCACGAAUCCUUUAAAGCGGGUCGAAUCGGGUUUAUCCAAUCUAUUUACAACCUUAAGUACAAUUAGUAAAGUUAGAUAUAUAAACCAUUGCACCUUUUAUCUCUCAUCUAAACAUCUUAUCCCAAAAGAGUUGGACUCUAUGUAUAGCCACUUGACUGAAAUCAAUUUAAAAUUUAAAAAAUAUUAGUAUCCCAUAAUCCCUUAAAGUUAAAACUUUAAAUACCUCUAAGUACCAAUUAACAAAAUAAUUUUAUUUCAUAAUGAACUUUAUCUCAAACUACUAGGAUAUAUCAUUUAAUGUUAAAGAUUUACAGCUCACCACCUCCAUUGCUCUUCUCACCUGACACCCCAUCCUCCCUGUUGUGCUCGCUUUGUCUCCCUCUCAGGCCCUUUCCGCCUCCACUUACCUCGCUAUCUCCCCCGCCCCCUAUUUUAUUUUAUAUUUUUAGUUUAAUAUUUUUCUUUAUUAUUCAUUUAUUUUUAUUUUUAUAAUUAAUUGAGAUUUUUAUGUUUCAUAUGUAUUUUCUAUUGCUUUAAUAUUUUGAUUUUGUUUUUAGUUUUCUGAAAUUCGUUUAUAUCUUAUUUUUAUUCUUAUAUUUACUUUCUAGUUUUUAUUUUGAUUCAUUUUAGUUUAUGUAUAAUAUAUAUCCUUCAAUCUUCUUUUUUAUAUCAUUUGAUAUAUUUUUCAAAUUAGUUUUCCUAUUUUUUAUGUUAUUUGAUAUUAUUUUUACACAUAUGUUUUGUAUCUUUAGUUUAGACUUAUUUUAUUUUAUUUUUAUUUUAUAUUAUUUAUAAAAUUAUAUUUUUGAUAUUUAUAUUUUACUUUUUUUACUUUUAGCUUUAUUUUAUGGUUUUUUAUUGAAGUUUAUUUUAUUAUUUUUAUAUUUUUAUAAGUGAUCCAUUUCUUACUCUCCUUACUAUGUUUCCUUAUUCCCCUUAAUCUUUUUAUUUUGGGUUAUGAUCUUUAUUUUAUUUGAACUUGUUUUAUUCUUCAUAUGAUUUUACAUUUUGAAAUGAUCUUUAUGUUUAUCAUUUAUGUGCUCAUUUUAAUUAAUAAUUAAAAUAAAAAUAUACUAAUGUUAACUUGUUUUAAUUAUCAUUAUUUUAUCAAACAUGCAAAUAGAUAUGCCUAUUUGCCAGUAAUUACUAAAGUUAUAUCUUGAAAAUUGUUAACCCUGCUAAGUGAAUAACUAGGUUUGAAAGUUUCCAUUUAUGUAUGAUUUUGAUUUAGACAGAAUUGAGAUCUAACUGCUAAUUAGAAAUUGGGUAUUGAUAUGGUUGUGGAUGAGAGUUAAAAGAAGAUCGUAGAAAAAAAAAAAUAACAAGCUUGAGAAAAAGAACUAGUUAAUCCUCUCCACAUUCUUCUAUUUAAAUUGAAGAUCCAAUCCUUUAAACAUAAUAUAUAUUACCAAAAAUUAACAAAAAUUAAAUUUUAUAUAUUUUAAUAUUCUAUAAUUUAUACAUCAAGACAGUACAAAAUAAACGAUAUCAAUUGUAUUAGUACUGUAAACUACAUGAUAAAGUACAUAAAUAAAAAAUUUACUUUAAAUAUUUUGAUCUAUAUAUGGAUAUAUAUAUAUAUAUAUAUCCUUAACUAUUGAUUAAUUUAAAAUCAUUAAAUUUUAAUGAUUAUAUUAUAGUAAAAUCUAAUAUCAUAUCAUUAAAGCCAUAUAUUUUGGCAUCUAGUUGAUGAUUUGGUUAGAAAUCAAAGUUUUUAUAUAAUUUUUUGGUGUAGAUCAUGGUCAACGUAGAAUGCAAAUUUUGUUUGACUAAAAUUAUGUUCCCUUUUGAUCCUAUAAGAUUAUCGAAAGCUUGAAUUGGAUCCAUGCGAGGGUGCUAUGGAUAUACUGGUAACAGCGAAUCUUUAUAAUUUCAACGGCUAGUACACUAAUCUUUUGUCACCAAAUUUGUCUCAGCAAUAAAGACUCGAGGGAUAACUUUAAAAAAGGGUAAAAUCUCGUAACUCGCCGAUCCGAUCCAGUGAACCCCCAAUGUAAUCUCCGUUAAUAUUCCAUCAGACGGUCUGAUCAACCAUAUACACGAUGGCGGGAAACCCGUGAGUCCAUGAUCCCGACCGCAUAAAACCAAGCGAACGGGAACGGCUCCAUCUCCUGCGCCCGCGGCGCCAUCAAUUCAUCUCUCCCCUCCUCUUUUAGUAGCCAAAGAAGUCGGAGGGACGAGAGAGAGACAGAGAGAGGAACGCCGUUCGAAUUCUCUUCUCCUUUUGGUCUCCGGUUUCUUCUGGAAGUUUCUCGAUCAUUCGCCGAGAGCCCAUGGGGAACUGCUCUCCGAAACCGAAGAAUGGGACCCGAUCGCCGGCGGCGGCGGCGGCGAAGCCCGGCCCGAUCGUGCGGCUCUACGGGAAGGAAUCGUGUCCGAUCGCGUGGCGGAUCCGCGUCGCGCUCCUCUACAAAUCGGUCGCCGUCCAGUUCUUCCCCACCGACGGGCCGGUGUUCCUCAGGUGCGGCGGCGAGGCGGUGGAGGGGCCCGCGGAUUCGCUUCUGAGGUAUAUCGAUUCGAAGUUCCCGCGGCCGCCGGUGGUGGCGGUGGAGAGGGGAACAGCAGCCGGGAAGGCGGCGCUGGUGACGGCUUUGCAGCACCGGAGCGUGGAGCGGCACGUGGAGGUGAUGGUGCGGUGGGCGGCGGAGCUGGUCGCCGGCGGAAGAGGCGGAGGGAGGAUGGAGGCAAGGAAGGUGGGCCGGAGUUACGGACAACUGGUGGAGGUGAUGCUGGAGCACGCGCAGAUGGAGGAGCGCCUCCUCUUCCCCGCCCUUGAGGCGGCCGCCGAUAGAGGUAUACCGGAACCCUCCCUAUCCCCACCGUCCAAUUUUUCACUAAAAAAUAAAAUUUCACUAAAAAAAUAAAUUUUCACUAAAAAAUAAAUUUUCACUAAAAAAAUAAAUUUUCACUAAAAAAUUAAAUUUUCGUUAAAAAAUUAAAUUUUCGUUAAAAAAUUAAAUUUUCGCUAAAAAAAUAAAUUUUUACAAAAAAAUAAAUUUUAAAUUUUGAUUAUUUAGUUUUAAAAAAGGGGGCGUUGCGAGAAUCGAACUCGCGACCUCUCGCACCCGAAGCGAGAAUCAUACCACUAGACCAAACGCCCAGUCUAAAUUAGGUGCGAUUUGGUGACGAAGUUAUGAUUAGUUUCGUAAAUUAGGGGCGAUUUGGUGACCAAGUUAUGAUUAGUUUCGUGUUUAUUGGUAAUUAGGGGUGUGUAAAGUGGCGAACGAGGAGCACGCGAGGGACCUGCCCAUAAUGAACGGGAUAAACGAGGAUAUCAAAUCUCUGGUGGCGAUGGAUGCAGGAGCGCCGUGCUAUCAGGAGGCAUUGCUCAAUCUCUCCCUUCGCUUCAAGACCUUGCAAGUAAUUCUUUCCUCCUAAUCAUAACAGAACAGCUUCUUUGAGUAGCAUCUAAGAUAUCUUGAUGGCUUUGUUUUGUUUUUUUUUUUUGGCCAAAGAACAAAAAAAAGGCGAAAGGUGAAAGGUGAAAUGAUUGAUUCCUUCCUGACUUGUAGGAAUUUGGAGGUAGCUAUUAUUACACUAAGAACCUUCCACCAACUUUGCUUACAUGGGUGGGAAAACACUUGUUGGAAUCUUUUGUCAUAGAAUAAUUUUCCUUUUUGACAUGCGAAUUCUGAUGGGUUAUAGAAAGUUGCCACAUAAUACUAACUUUGGGCAGUUAGCUGAUAGGAACUUUCAGUCAUGAAUGAGAAGUGUUUAGGCAAAAUAGAUUUCUCACCCCUUAUUUUUUUGUAGCUUUAUUCAUUAGCUUGCUGAUUUUGGGGCUGGCCAUGCCUCAUUUAAUUUCUGGUCUUGGUGAGAUUUUUUGCAUGCACUUGUAUCUUUUAUUGUACACUGUCAAAUAAGGGAGAGAGGCUAAUGAUUAGAUUGCCACAAGCAUUGAGGACUUUGGAAUAAAAAACUUUUACUCAACAGGCAACUGGCACUGAAUGACAGUCAAACCAAGGUGGCAAUUAAAGCAACAUCUAGAAAUCCUAUGUUGAUAAUUCUUCUUCUAUGUUUACUUUAAGUAUGAAUGCAAUAAACAGGCAAAGAUGAUUAAUUUGGGGGAUAACAAAAAAAAGGGGGGCAAAUAUUUUAUAAACUUUUGCAUAGAAUCAUAGGCAAAUAAGGAAGGAAUCUAAGAUCUCUUUCUUCUUCAAAUUUCAAGUUGUCUAAACUUAUUUCAUUUGAUGGUGUCCUGAAUCAUUUCUGUAACACUUGGGACGAAGUAUAAGAUUGUAAGUUCCAGCCUUCCACUUGGGUACAACUGCAUAAGGUCAGAGCACCUCUAGAGCCACAAGCUAACUAUUAUAGUGGAUGCACCCUCCUGGUUUGGUAUCUCCAGGACAUGGAAAAAAAGGAGUGCACUCAAAUAUAAAUAUAUAUUUACCAAUUUAAAGAAAUUAAAAAGAGAAAAUCUUAAUACGAGCCCAUAUUAUUUGUUAUUGGUGAUCUUUUCUAAGUAACAACAAUUGGGUUUAUGGCCAGGAACAUUGCAAGGAACACUUCAAAGAGGAAGAGAAGGAGCUCUUACCACUUCUAGAGGCUGCGGAAAGAACCCGAAUUGGAGAAGAGAAUGAUACCUCGUCCUCUUUUGCAGAACAAGUGAUGAUGUUGAUGGAGAGUACUCACUCCCNNNNNNNNNNNNNNNNNNNNNNNNNNNNNNNNNNNNNNNNNNNNNNNNNNNNNNNNNNNNNNNNNNNNNNNNCGAGUGGUCGCGAUGCUCAAAUCGCUGACCACCCUAAUAGAUGGCACACAUCCACCGUCCAUUUGUAAUAUACCCCUCAAAUCUCUGUGAUUGUUUCAUUUGUUUUAGUGCCUUGGAAGUUCUUUUCAUGCAUAUAAUUCCAAAGAUUUCUAUUGUUUGAAAAAAGGUCAGAGAUUGCAGCAAAUCUUGUCUCUUACUAUCUGGUCUGUACAUAUACCUUUGGACACUUCUAAUUGGUAAUCUUCAGUCAAAAGCAAUUAUCUGUCUCACGCAUAUAGCUAGGACUGUCAAUUGAUUUGAACUGCUUUAGUUCAGCUCAAGUUUGCCCCAAAGGAUGAGCUCAUCAAGUUGGUUUGAGAUUAGCUGAGCUGAACUUGAACUUGGUUCUCAAGCUCAAGCUCAAGCUCAGCUGAACUACACUUCUUUCUACAACUAUUGUUUGAUAUUUGUGAACCCUAUACUUGAUCUAAUAGUUGUUGUAAUGCACUAGAUUUUUGGGACCCUUUCUGUAGAAUGAUCACAAUAUUCGAAGUCCAGCAAGUGUCAUAGAACCUCUCAUUAGCAUGAGCUUGUAACCCUUGCAAAAGUUACAGGCUAGCUUGAAUAUUGGUUUGUUUGAGAUCAAAGGAAGGUGCUUAUUGACGAGUUAUGCUUCUAUAUACAACCAGUAGUGUUAAUAGGUUGGGAUGGGGUCGAGUGAGCCAUCUCCACACCCAAAUCCCAAGUACAUAUAUUAUUUCUUUGAUUUAGAAUCCUCUACGCAUACCUAGCAUGGAUCCAAGGGUGUGUUUGGUUCGCGACCGGAAUCAGAAUCGGAAUGGCCAUAUUCUCUGAUGUGUACUUCAUCGGCGAAAGGUGGCCAAUUUGAAUCACAAGGACUAUUAAAUAGUUGUUGUCACAACCUUGUAGCAUUACAUUUUUUGUUCUUACCUCAAUGACAGUGGUAGCUUAUAUUAAUUGACAGCAUAAUUUUAUAUGACCGAUGAUAGUUUACAGGCCACUGCAUGUCAUCUUCUUGGCUGCCCAAUGAAGACCAACUAAUAUCUUGAUCAUACCAUAUGCUAUCUUCCUGUGAUCACGCAAAGUAAUCUAUCAUACUGCGAACCCUGUUCUUGAUCAGUUUUGCAUCCUAAUACUGCCUAAUUUUAAUGUCAUUGAGUGGUGACCAAGUCAUAAGAACCACAGGCAAAACAAAAAAAUUUGAGUUGUUCUAUUGAAUCAUAUUGAAGAGACUUUUGGAGUUGCAGAAAGAAAGAAUUCGACUGCUCAACAAUGCCAACAAUCUGAGACCGUAGUGCGCAUACUGAAUACUUUGUUGUGAUGAGAUACUAAAUUUGUCUCCCCCUGAAAUGAGCCAAUUAAUCCAGAGAAUAUCUUGAAGCAAAAGUGUUACAGACUUGGUAAAUUUUCUAGCUGCAGGUUUUAGAUCGCAAUAACUUGUUUGUCACAGAAGCCUAGUCUGUAGAAAAAGAUUUUAUUGCAUCAUUAUAUAUAAAACAUGCAUCAUACUUACUGCUCUCUCUGAGGAUGCUUCAGUUCUUCCACUUUUACAUGACUCCCUUCUAUUAGAAUUCCCUUCAUGUGUUCCACUAGUUCCUGAAUUUGCUUAUUUGAAUGGAGAGGAGAAGGGUAGACACAAGCACAAUCCAGUUGGCCAUCUCGGAUUGUGUCAAAAAAGGCGAUCGACGGGCCAACCCCAUGGACUGAAGAGCAUCCAACAUAGUCCUCCACUCCAAGAUACUGCUGCAGCUCGGACGAUUCAGAUAUCACAGGCUCGUCGAAGACCGAGAUGAGUGCAGUGCGAAGUGAUGAGGCAGGAGUGAGGUGGGGGUUCUGGAUGGCCUUGCACAUGAGGAAGUUGAGCUCGCCAAUGUCGGUCAGGUGCU
RNAcentral lists this long non-coding RNA (25248 nucleotides) under Phoenix dactylifera (date palm). Its description in RNAcentral is "long non-coding RNA (PDAC_LNC004748)". Lineage: Eukaryota; Viridiplantae; Streptophyta; Magnoliopsida; Arecales; Arecaceae. The record is from RNAcentral.